This 1464-nucleotide long non-coding RNA is filed under the name Chrysemys picta bellii (western painted turtle). RNAcentral describes it as "lncRNA (ENSCPBG00000022599.1)". The record is from RNAcentral. Lineage: Eukaryota; Metazoa; Chordata; Testudines; Emydidae.
UUGCCCGAGCUCACCGGACGGGGCUGGGAACAGACCCCAGCGCCCUGCCCUUGGACCCAGCCUCAGAGCCGGCCUCGGCCUUCAGCUCGCUGCCUGAUUUGCCCAUUCACGGGGCUCAGCCUGUGUGACCCUGCAGAAACCACUCGAUAUCUGCUCUGCACUGAGGCUUUUCACUGCUGCUUGUUUGGGCGGGGGUGGGGGAGAGGACACUGCUUUUAUUUCCAGGGCAUUUUCAAAUCCAGGACAAUAGAAACAAAUGAGAGUUAAAAUGUGUAUGGAAUCCAAAGUGCUGGCUGGGUGGAUUCAGUCCCAGGCCUCAGCUGAGAAGUGUCCUUUCCCGUUGGAUUUUUCUCAUCUCUUUGGGCUGUGUCCGGUACAGCCGGGUGACGGGCAGGUCAGGCUGUGUCCGGUACAGCCGGGUGACUCCGGGUGACGGGCAGGUCAGGCUGUGUCCGGUACAGCCGGUGACUCACAACAUUCUUUUUACUUCCAUUUUCUCCGUUACUCAUUGUACGAGCCAGGACGUAACUGAGCUGGAUUCCACACAAUGCAGCAACGCAGAGGGAUGGAACCAGGUCCUUAACUACAGUAUGAAUCCCCUGGUUAAUGCAUGUGCAGCUCCUGGCGCAAGGAGUGGGUGUAUAAGUGCUGAGUGUUACACCAGGCAGUCGUUAUACCACACCCAGCGGGUGCUAGGUCCCGGGCAGACAAAUCAAAUAUGCAGCCCCUGCCCCAGAUGACUCAACGUCCAGAGCCAGACCCAAGUGGACACAAAGCCAGGAGGGGGGGGAGGAGGAGGGAGGUUCUGGGAGGCGCCGGCGGGCGAGGCACAUGGCACCCUGCUUCGGGCUUGUGUUGAUUGCUCCAAACUCGUAAAGCCGGCGUCUCCGUGAGGCUGGGCAUGAGCUGACACCGCUGAUCAGCAUCUAAGUGCCUGGGAAACUCCUCCACUGGGCCAACCGGGUCACACUGGCUCAUCCUUACAGAGGUGCUGGGUGAUAAUAAUCAAAUCCACGUCAACCCCCUGGAGAGACAUUUACACGCACAGGCCAAGGGCAGGACCCAGCAGCCUCAGCGACAUGCCUCUAGCGCCAAGGGCACCGUGCGGCCCGGCCCCCUCCCGAGCUCUUGCGUGCCCCAGCUCAGGGGCUGCAGGCCCAGGCCGCGAGCGCACGGCGAGCGGGGGCGGCAGUGCCCUGCCGAGGGUCCCGCCUGCCAGCCUGGCUGCCGUGGAAUUCUCCGGGUGCCACCUCCCCCCCCCCUCCCGCUCUGCACAUGGCAGAGGCAGCUCGGUGGCUAAUUGCUGGUGUAAUUAGCUGAGCCAUUAUCGCUGCCAAUGCCAUAAAGCGGCUGUGACCCUCAUUAGGAGCCCAUUAGAGACUCUCAUAAACUCUGGAGCAGGGAGCCUGGGGUUUGAACAGCCCUAAUCCCACCAAUAAACACGUCUGCUGAGACUUCCUGUCA